RNAcentral lists this unclassified non-coding RNA (329 nucleotides) under soil metagenome. RNAcentral describes it as "partial contains 5.8S ribosomal RNA, internal transcribed spacer 2, and large subunit ribosomal RNA". The stretch from base 1 to 120 matches the Rfam family "5.8S ribosomal RNA", at positions 35 to 154 of the family's 154-position model. The record is from RNAcentral.
GAUGAAGAACGUAGCGAAAUGCGAUAAGUAAUGUGAAUUGCAGAAUUCAGUGAAUCAUCGAAUCUUUGAACGCACAUUGCGCCCCCUGGUAUUCCGGGGGGCAUGCCUGUCCGAGCAUCAUUACAACCCUCAAGCUCAGCUUGGUGUUGGGCCCCGCCGCCCCGGCGGGCCCUAAAGUCAGUGGCGGUGCCGUCCGGCUCCGAGCGUAGUAAUUCUUCUCGCUCUGGAGGUCCGGUCGUGUGCUCGCCAGCAACCCCCAAUUCUUUUCAGGUUGACCUCGGAUCAGGUAGGGAUACCCGCUGAACUUAAGCAUAUCAAUAAGCGGAGGA